GGAAUCCCCGCAGGCGCUGGGUCUGCAGAUGGCGUCCAGGUACACAGUGGCGAGUGUGAUUCCGCAGUCUUGGGCUGUUUGGCCAAGCGCCCGCCGGACAUGGUACGCCGAAGGGUCAUCGGCGUGGAGUCCUCGCUUUCAGCGUCCGCGGCUGGGAAAUCGGCCAUCGCUACGGCGGGAACUGGGACUCGGGCUGCGUCCCGGCCCUUCCACAUCGGUCCACCGCACUCGUGGGCGCCCGCAUUGGUGCUGACAUAAUUUCCUGACCUCUGACCCGUAUUGUCUCGCGAUUAAAGAGCUGCGCCUGGAUCCCUCAGCAGUGAGGAGACCUGAAGACCAGAGGAAACACAGCAAUCGGAGUCUCCCUCUGUCAUCCAGACUAGAGUGCAAUGGCGUGAUCUCGGCUCACUUCAACCUCCGACUCCCAGGUUCAAGCAAUUCUCCCUGCCUCAGCUUCCCAAGUAGCUGGAAUUUCAGGGGCUCACCAGAGAAGACAGGGCAAGGUGAGGGGGAUCUCCUAGCAGAGGAAACAACAUGCGCCAAUCAAGCAAAGAUAUUUUUGUGCAUUCAAGGAACACAGAGAGGAAAGACAGUGGCAGAUGGAGACGUAUAAAGCAGGGAUCCUGUUAUGAAAAGCCCUAAAAAAUAGGGUAUAGAGUUUGGGCCAUAUUUCAGAGUAUCUGGGAAAUACUGGCCUCAUAAAAUGAGCUGGGGACUUGGCUGUAUUCCUUAAUUAUAGUAGAAGACACUGGGUGAACUCAGAGCUGAUAAUAGGAGUCCUCCUGAACCAGUUGAGCUUCUGAAUGGUAAAGAAGGCCUGGCUAUUCAAAGGGAACCAAAUUUUAAAAAAAUUGUCUUCUACUGGGGUAACAGAGGAAGAAACCCUUGAGCAAAAAAACCUUAAAAACUACCCUUGCCCCAUUCACUUUUUUCACAUGAAAAUACCAGUGACAGCUAUUCCAGGAAAAUCUAUUACAUCCUCUCCAAAAUAUAAAUUAGAUAUAACAUGCGUAAGAUAGUUAGAUAAAAGUUUUAGGCUGGUGCAGUGGCUCACGCCUGUAAUCCCAGCACUUUGGGAGGCCAAAGCGGGCGGAUCACGAGGUCAGGAGAUCGAGACCAUCCUGGCUAACAUGGUGAAACCCUGUCUCUACUAAAAAUACAAAAAAUUAGCCAGGUGUGGUGGCAUGUGCCUGUAGUGCCAGCUACUUGGGAGGCUGAGGCAGGAGAAUCACUUGAACCUGGGAGGCAGAGGUUCCAGUGAGCCAAGAUCACGCCACUGCACUUCAGCCUAGCAACAGAGCAAGACUCCAUCUCAAAACAACAACAACAACAACAACAAAAAACACACAAAGUUUUAAAAGUGUGUCAAAAUCCCCCAUGUACAAAAAAACUCACUAAAAAAAUCAGAGAAGAUGAAAAUCAUCACCCAACAUUUCAGUCUGAAUUAAAAAAAAAGUAUGAUGCAAUUGCAGCUCUAAAAGCAGACCACAAGCAAAAAUAUACGAUCUCAGGAGAGAGAAGAAAGUAAUAGAUAGACCAUAGAUGGGAGUUAGUGGAAUUCAAGACUGAAAGAGAAAAUAGGCUAAGUCACAUCAGAAAUGAAGAAUAAACUAGCUAGUGCAGCGGCAUGUGCCUGUGGUCCCAGCUACUUGGGAGACUGAGUCUAGAAGAUUGCUUGAGUCCAGGAGUUCAAGGUUGAGGCCAGCCUGGGCAACACAGUGAGACCCCCAUCUCUAGGCGCAUAAGAUCUGACAAAUGCCACAGAAAGUAUAG
Molecule: long non-coding RNA, 1773 nt
Filed under: Homo sapiens (human)
Lineage: Eukaryota; Metazoa; Chordata; Mammalia; Primates; Hominidae
Description: ZNF790 antisense RNA 1
Source: RNAcentral